UUACAGCAUGAACGAUCCGAACUGAUGGUCGUAUUGUAUUUUUGCGCUGUACUUGAGAUCGGUCAGAAAGUUCGCUCUUCAUUCCUGUUUCCUGAAUACACAGCGGGAUAAGUUCAGCAUCGCAUAGAACGUACAGCCGUCUUAUGAGACAGUAUUUGCACUACAAUGUACAAAACGCUCUUUCUGGCAAUGUUCGUCAUUUUCGUAGCCCAUAUGACGCGUACGAUGCGCUUUUUACCGAAUCAUCGAAGGAGGACCUACUAUAUUAUUGAUUUUUUGAACACGUCACAGCGCAUAUGGACUGUGCAAACCAGUAGACCAGGAAACACGACCUGCCAGUACGAUCACGUGCGUAGCGUCAACCAAAUGUUCGUUAUAUUCAACAGAAUUCUCAUGCAAGGCAGAACAAGAUUUUCGACCCAUGUUUUGUGCGAAAUUGAUUUUUGCGGCGGAGAAUAAUACAUGCGGCGUUGUGAAGCUGGGAUCAUUGACAGGGACGUCGCACACUUAUUACGAGAUGCAAGUGAGAAAUUCAUCUCUUGAAGCCAUCUUUUAUCGACGUUGUUGGAAUCACUUCUCUAGGGUCACUCGUCAGAGAAGAGUGGUUUACGACCCACAAUGCGAGCACCUAAUUAGUCUUGGCAUCAUGUCUUCUUUGAAAAAAUCAUCAUUCACAAACCACAGAUUUCUCAACUGUACAAUACCGUUGUCUUGUGUUCUACGCGUGC
Long non-coding RNA from Rhipicephalus sanguineus (brown dog tick), 728 nucleotides. RefSeq lists it as uncharacterized. The record is from RefSeq and is a predicted model, not a curated record. NCBI's taxonomy places the organism in Eukaryota, Metazoa, Arthropoda, Arachnida, Ixodida, Ixodidae. The transcript has 4 exons.